ACUCCAGUCGAUGCUGCUGGAGGAUACUGCUAUCAGAUUUCGACAGCCAUGCAAGUCAGCUCAGCCACUUGGUUGGGCGGCACACGGCUCAGUAACGCGUGGUCAAUCUACCGUAAAGAAGGGAAUACCCUCGGGAAACUGAGGCUAAUGCCAUAUAGGUUAGGAAUUCUGGAAUGAGUCCUAAUCGAAAGGGUAGUGAAUUGGAGCUUUACCGCUUUACGAUGAGACUGCGUCGGAUCAGGCAGAUGGCGGGGUAACGGCCCACCAUACCUUUGACCCGUAGGGGAUAUGAGAGUAAGAGCC
Molecule: ribosomal RNA, 303 nt
Filed under: Microcaldota archaeon
Lineage: Archaea; Nanobdellati; Microcaldota
Description: bacterial SSU rRNA
Rfam family: Archaeal small subunit ribosomal RNA
Source: RNAcentral